RNAcentral lists this ribosomal RNA (496 nucleotides) under uncultured bacterium. RNAcentral's name for it is "partial 16S ribosomal RNA". It matches the Rfam family "Bacterial small subunit ribosomal RNA", at positions 28 to 507 of the family's 1533-position model. The record is from RNAcentral.
GACGAACGCUGGCGGCGUGCCUAAUACAUGCAAGUAGAACGCUGAAGAGAGGAGCUUGCUCUUCUUGGAUGAGUUGCGAACGGGUGAGUAACGCGUAGGUAACCUGCCUUGUAGCGGGGAUAACUAUUGGAAACGAUAGCUAAUACCGCAUAACAAUGGAUGACACAUGUCAUUUAUUUGAAAGGGGCAAUUGCUUCACUACAAGAUGGACCUGCGUUGUAUUAGCUAGUAGGUGAGGUAAUGGCUCACCUAGGCGACGAUACAUAGCCGACCUGAGAGGGUGAUCGGCCACACUGGGAAUGAGACACGGCCCAGACUCCUACGGGAGGCAGCAGUAGGGAAUCUUCGGCAAUGGGGGCAAACCUGACCGAGCAACGCCGCGGGAGUGAAGAAGGUUUUCGGAUCGUAAAGUUCUGUUGUAAGUCAAGAACGGGUGUGAGAGUGGAAAGUUCACACUGUGACGGUAGCUUACCAGAAAGGGACGGCUAACUACGUG